UGCCUUACACAUGCAAGUCGAACGGUAACAGGGAGCUUGCUCCGCUGACGAGUGGCGAACGGGUGAGUAAUAUAUCGGAACGUGCCCUAGAGUGGGGGAUAACGUAGCGAAAGUUACGCUAAUACCGCAUACGAUCUACGGAUGAAAGUGGGGGAUCGCAAGACCUCAUGCUCAUGGAGCGGCCGAUAUCUGAUUAGCUAGUUGGUAGGGUAAAAGCCUACCAAGGCUUCGAUCAGUAGCUGGUCUGAGAGGACGACCAGCCACACUGGGACUGAGACACGGCCCAGACUCCUACGGGAGGCAGCAGUGGGGAAUUUUGGACAAUGGGGGCAACCCUGAUCCGACAAUGCCGCGUGAGUGAAGAAGGCCUUCGGGUUGUAAAGCUC
RNAcentral lists this ribosomal RNA (386 nucleotides) under uncultured organism. RNAcentral describes it as "bacterial SSU rRNA". It matches the Rfam family "Bacterial small subunit ribosomal RNA", at positions 45 to 433 of the family's 1533-position model. The record is from RNAcentral.